This 354-nucleotide unclassified non-coding RNA is filed under the name soil metagenome. Its description in RNAcentral is "partial contains 5.8S ribosomal RNA, internal transcribed spacer 2, and large subunit ribosomal RNA". The stretch from base 1 to 120 matches the Rfam family "5.8S ribosomal RNA", at positions 35 to 154 of the family's 154-position model. The record is from RNAcentral.
GAUGAAGAACGUAGCGAAAUGCGAUAAGUAGUGUGAAUUGCAGAAUUCAGUGAAUCAUCGAAUCUUUGAACGCACAUUGCGCCCUUUGGUAUUCCAUAGGGCAUAUCUGUUCGAGCGUCAUUAAAAUCACUCAAGCUUAGGUUUACCUAUUGCUUGGUCUUGGAGAUGGAAGCCAAUUUAUUGGAAUCCUCUUCGAAAUUCAAUGGCGAAGACCCUUGCUCUCCCAAGUGUAGUAAUAACUUAUGUCACUGAAGGAAGCGAGAAAUCUUCUGCCGUAACCCCCAUAUUUUCUAUGAUUGACCUCGGAUCAGGUAGGGAUACCCGCUGAACUUAAGCAUAUCAAUAAGCGGAGGA